GGGCGUGUGGCUCAGUUGGUAGAGCGUUCGCUUAGCAUGCUUCAAGGUAAACACUUGGAGAAUAACAUGCGAAAGGUCCUGAGUUCGAUUCUUAGCUCGUCCA
This is a non-coding RNA of Apodospora peruviana, 103 nucleotides long. The record is from the annotation of a GenBank genome assembly. Lineage: Eukaryota; Fungi; Ascomycota; Sordariomycetes; Sordariales; Lasiosphaeriaceae.